Molecule: microRNA, 23 nt
Filed under: Ananas comosus (pineapple)
Lineage: Eukaryota; Viridiplantae; Streptophyta; Magnoliopsida; Poales; Bromeliaceae
Description: microRNA s1576_c091b
Source: RNAcentral
GUGGAAGGGAGUUAUUCUUACUA